Molecule: ribosomal RNA, 403 nt
Filed under: uncultured bacterium
Lineage: Bacteria
Description: partial 16S ribosomal RNA
Rfam family: Bacterial small subunit ribosomal RNA
Source: RNAcentral
GACGAACGCUGGCGGCGUGCCUAAUACAUGCAAGUCGAACGCAGUGGGGACGGGUGAGUAACACGUGGGUAACCUCCCAUCAGAGGGGAUAACACUUGGAAACAGGUGCUAAACCGAUACUGAUGGAUGGACCCGCGGUGCAUUCGCUAGUGGGUGAGGUAACGGCUCACCAAGGCCACGAUGAAUCGCCGACCUGAGAGGGUGAUAGUACACACUGGUACUGAGACACGGCACAGAAUCCGACGGUAGGCAGCAGUAGGGAAUCUUCGGCAAUUGACGAAAGUCUGACCGAGCUACGCCGCGGGAGUGAAGAAGGUUUUCGGAUCGUAAAACUCUGUUGUUAGAGAAGCGGGAUCUAACCAGAAAGCCACGGCUAACUACGUGCCAGCAGCCGCGGUAAUUC